RNAcentral lists this transfer RNA (65 nucleotides) under Parapenaeopsis tenella. Its description in RNAcentral is "tRNA-Asn". The record is from RNAcentral. Lineage: Eukaryota; Metazoa; Arthropoda; Malacostraca; Decapoda; Penaeidae.
UUGGUUAAAGCCAAAAAGAGGCAUAUCACUGUUAAUGAUACCACUGAAGACUUCUUCUAACCAAG